AUGUCAAUCCAAACGUCAUCUUGUGUUUCCCUAAUUUUACACCCUCUCUCCCAAAUCUGCCCCCAUUCAGUGCAAUCUUAAUGAUUCCUUCAACCAAAACCCUUGUAAAUCGAAGAAGCGAAUGAAACGGUGGGCAAUAAGAACUGAAUGUUAUUGAAUCGUUUGCCAUCUCCAUUUAUAGUUAUAUUGAAUGUUGAAUUUCAUGAGUUCUUCAGUUGCGAAACCGUUGUAUAAAUCAAAUACCUCAAGGCUGAAACGAUUGGCCAUCUCUUCAUCCCGACGUAUUGCUCCACAAAUUUCUGGGGUUUUCCAUUUCUAAGUUUAUUGCGAUCUUCUUGUGCAAGUAAACACAGAGCAAAAUACCAUUUAGGGUUUUUCUAAAUCGAUUAAUUCAUUGAUAACUGCAUAUUCUACAAUCAUUUUGAAGCGAAGCAGAUUCACCACUUCAAUCAUGUGGACUCUCAAUUUUCCAAGGUCCAAUUUUCUACUCAGAAUUUCUUAACUGGUACCAACUAGAUUUGUUAGGGUUUUUUAGCAUUUUGACAAUUUUACAUGCUGUGCUGUGUUUACAUAUAUAUUUAUUGAUUAGUUGUAAUAACCUGUAUGAAUUGUAUCCUCUUGUUUUGAUUGAUCGAAAUGAUUUGUUUCAUGUGACUUUAGCUUAGGUUUAUUGAUGAUGAUUUUGAAGUUAGGGAUUUUAAUAUCGGUGUAUGAUGUUGAAUUACUUUUAUUUAGGCUUGAAGGUCGGUUACCACUAAUGAUAUUUAUUUUGUCCUUGGUUUGAUUGUGUUUAGCUUAUGGUUGACUCUGGAUUGAAGCUUACACAAUUUCAUAGAUCAAUCUAAAUCGCUUUCUACCACUUUAGAUACCAGGUUUUUGAGCCAUGUGGUUUUAUCAAAUGGAUUUGUUUUUAAUUAUAUGUUGGCUGGUGAGCUAAUGUACCAUAAUAGUAGAUUAUGUUUCUGCAUAUUCAAAAAAUUAAACUAGAAUUUGUGUUUUUAGGGUUAAGGUUUUUCAAUGGUUGCAGAUGACGAGUUACUGUUAAUUUCAUGUUUUCGUUGAGGAAAAUAUAGCUCGAAUCAGGCUUUACGAGCUUAGGAACAAAUCGAAGUUGAAUUGAAUGAUCUCCAACUGGUCGUAAUAUCUACAAUCUAGGGGUGCUAAGAUAUUAGAAGGUUUAGAUGCUGUGAGGAAAAGACCUGGAAUGUACAUUGGAACUUUGGAAGUACGGGGUUUUGUGGUCUACAUCAUCUGGUUUAUGAAAUACUGGAUAACGCUGUUGAUGAAGCCCAAGCUGGUUUUGUUUCAAAAGUCGACAUUGUCUUACUCGCAGACGGGUCAGUGUGCAUCACUGACAAUGGACGUGGGGACGUAGGGUGGAAGUGUAUCCCUCAUUCGCAUGCAGAAUUGACAAAGUGGAACGACCAGUAAACAGGUCCGAGCCAGCAGCCCUAGAAAGAUGAGAACGACGCUGGAGGCGGAGGCCUAAAGACUAGAUGGUGGAUUUCUCACUUAAGCAAGUUAGGCAUGAUCUGGUAGAGAGAAGCAACUCGAGGGGGGAUUUAAAUCAGCACAUUACUAGCAAGAUCGUGGUGCCGAAGGUGAAUUGUUUCGUUUGGAGAGCCACCACUCGUAAGAUAACUACGGCUAUGUGGCCUUGGCGGCCGUUUGGUGAUGAAUUUUGUCCGAUGUGUGGCAUAGUGAAUGAAAAGGCUGACCGCUUUCUCGUUGAGUGCUCAUUCUCGAAGUCGGUGUGGUGGUUGGUCUGUAGAUGGUUGAAUGAGUUCAACCUUAUACAUUACACCACUUAGCCGCCCUAAAACUCCUAGACAGUAGACCCUAUUACUGUCUUCACAAAUCUUUUCCUUUGCUUUUUAGUGUUGUUUCAACACAAUAAUCAACCAUCCUACUUGGACAACUUAUAUAUGACUUAUUUAUCGUUUGAGUAAAUUACAAGUUUUGUCCUUUAUGUAAACACCAAAUUGCAGGCGGUGUCCUUUAUCUUUAAAAUUGACGGGUUUUGUACUUAAUGUUUCAAAAUCUUGCACGGUAUGUCUUUUAAGCCUAACCCAGUUUAUUUUUUUUUGUUAAAUCUGGUCAUGUGCCAUGCACAUGAGGGUAUUAUUGUCAUUUGACUAUUUCAGGGGUUAUUAUGUAAAUAAUAUAUAAAUAUAGACUGUUUUAUAAAAAUAAGAGUGUAUUGCAAGUUUUGUCCUUU
This is a long non-coding RNA of Helianthus annuus (common sunflower), 2218 nucleotides long. RefSeq lists it as uncharacterized. NCBI's taxonomy places the organism in Eukaryota, Viridiplantae, Streptophyta, Magnoliopsida, Asterales, Asteraceae. The transcript has 5 exons. The record is from RefSeq and is a predicted model, not a curated record.